GCCUCUUUAGACAGGUUGGAGCCAAACCUGAGCUCUCUGAAAUAGUCUGCCUGCAAGAGGAGGUGGUUUCCUCUGUCCUCAGUCCCUUGCUAAAUGCUUUGGUACUGGAGGGUGUCACUCCUCCCCUAGACAACUUGGCUGCCUCAGAAUCGACUUGGUAUUAACUGAACAGGAUACAAAUGAAACGGCUAACCACCAUGCAUGAUGGAGUUCAAUGGAAUGUUGCUGCUUUCCAUCUCUUAGCUGCAAUGUCCCUAAUAAAGGGCAGGAUCCAAGAAACAACACACUUAGCCAAACUUCAGGCAGUAGUCUUAGUGCUGGAUGCCUGGCCAACAAGUAGCCCUAUCUUCACAUUUAUUAAAAACUGUUGGGUCAUUACCUAAAAUUGUCACUUGCAGGCAGAAAAAAACCUAACAAACUCAGACUCUUUUGCUUCACAGAUAUCGAAAAUAUAAAUCAAAAUCAUACAUCUCCAUAUAUAUUAAGCCCACAAUACAAGACCUUGGCACUGCACCCCAAUACUAUAUUGAUAAUAACCAAAAUAUACUCUUCUCAAAAUAGACCAUGCUAGUCUCUUGAAAAAUGUAUACACUAGAACUUUCUUGUCCCUGGUAGGUAUUAAAUACCCAGUUUAAUUAAGAGACCUAAUGAUCAUUUCACAAGCUCCUUUUCAAAUUCCAGUUAGGUAAAUAGGCCUCUAAAUGAGUCUCUUGCUCUAGGCCUUAACCUCUCUUAAUUCAAGGCCCCCUGGCCAGUGUAUGGCUCAUACCAGCUUAAAAUUUUCCCUUAUAUUUAAAGGUGACAUGCAUUGCUUCAUGUACAUAAAGAGUCAUUAUAUAUGUGGUCCAUUUUAUAAUGUCUUUCCCUAUCUUUAUACAUUUUUAAUCAUUCCUCUUUCCCAGAAGGGCUGGAGGCCAGAUCAAGGGCCCAUUAACCAGAUUGUUCAUGUACCAGAUGGCUGUUGAUCUGAUAGGGGACCUAUUUGAGCCUAAACUUCGAAAAAACAAAAACCCUGUCAGUGUAGCUGCACACCUUCCUAUUGACUGUUGGUCUUAUUGCCACUGGUCUGGGUGCUUUCAUUAAUUUACAGUCAGAACCCUCUAAAUGAGACAUUGUUUCCACCAAACAUAGCAAAUGCUGAGACCCAUAUCAUCUCAAGCGGGCCCCCUCUUGGAAAGGAUACCCUGUCCCACAUCCCAGAGGACAUCUCCUAGUCUAAGACCUCACUGUUGCAGAUGACUUCACCCUGACCCUAAAACCUUGGCCCCAGCAGCACACAUGGGCUGCCUCUCCUGAGGCACAAAUUGAAUGCAGGACAUUUUCGCUUUUCUUCCCUCAAUAUUAGGGAUCCUAGUACAUUUCUGAGAUUACUUAGCCUGUGAUCCUGCCAUACUACUUGUUCUCUGCUGAAAGGCAUAACCCCACACUCCUGCGCCAAAAGAGUAAGCUACUAGAGGUUACUCUAAAAGUCUCCACUAACAUCAUCCCCAAAGAUUCCUUAAUAUGAUGUCAAAACAUAGGGUUAGUUUUAUUGAGAACAUUUUCUUAUUUUCUGUAUCCCGGGUACUUAGGCAUUUGGGUCCUUGAUUCUGGUGAUACCACCCUUUCCAGGACUAGCUAGUUCCCAGUGAUGGCAACACCACCUGGGAGUGUAUAUUUAAUAUCCAAGCUAACCAAUCCAGAGUUCUCACCUCAAUCAUCUCCUUUAUCAAAUUCUCCCAUACCAAGCCAGUAUUCACUUGCCCUGAAUCACCCCAGGGCCAGUACCAGCCAGCUAAGGACAGCUCCUACAGCCUAGAGUCUACUGAAGUUAUUCAAAAUAUGCAAACUUACCUGGUGUACCUGCCCUAUCUCACCCAUUCCUUCCCAUAAAAACUUCAAUAAAACCUCUGGGCCAUGUCCACCCUCUCCCUCUUGCCUCCUGACUGAUCCUGGUCAUUCCCCAUGUGGCCCUGCCCAGCAUGGUGUACCAUUAUUCCUGGUUCUGCAGAUAUUUGAGUAUAAACUUAAUGCUUUACAAUGAUCAUUUCCAUGUUGGUGUGUCUUAGAACAAAUCCCAGGUACAAAUUUUAACACAUUGUCAUUUUUUUUUAAUUGCACAAUACUCCAUCUUGUGAAUGUACCACUUUUUUUUUUCCUGCCGAUCCCCUAUUUAGGCCACAUGUGCAGUGGUAAAGAUUGUGAACUGCACUAUGUUUUCCUUAGGUAAUGUAUUUGGGUAAUACAGUUUCGUUAUUGAAUAUCAUCUUUUCCUCUGGCAAAGAAAAUGGUAAUUUUGCUGUGUAGAAUUCUUGGGUUAUAGUCCUUUUGUUUGUUUGUUUGUUUUGUUGUUGUUAGUCUAACUAUUAUGUCUCCUUUCUUCUAGCUUCUAUAUUGUAGAUUAGGAUUCUAGAUCUACAAUUUGAUUUUUUUUUUUCAUCUCUGUAAAGAACUUGUUCUUGGAGUUCCCAUGGUGGCUCAGUGGUUAACGAAUCCAACUAGGAACCAUGAGGUUGCGGGUUUGAUCCCUGGCCCUGCUCAGUGGGUUAAGGAUCCGGCAUUGCUGUUGCCGUGAGCUGUGGUGUAGGUCACAGACUUGGCUCGGAUCCCGCAUUGCUGUGGCUCUGGCAUAGGCCAGUGGCUACAGCUCCAAUUAGACCCCUAGCCUGGGAACCUCCACAUGCCACAGGAGUGGCCCUAGAAAAGGGAAAAAGACAAUAAAAGGAAAAAGAAAAAAAAAGCUUGUUCUUUAUAGCUGAAAGCUUGUCAACUGUGAGAAUUUUUUUUCUUAUUAUCUAAUUUUACCAGAUAUCUGAUAAGUCUACACCUCCCCCCUCACUUCCUGGACCUCUUGUGAGAUUUUAUUUUAUUUUCCACAUCUGUGGCAUGCAGAAGUUCCUUGGCCAUCAAUCAGAUGCCCUUCACAGCAGUGACCCAAGCCACAGCAGUGACAAUGCCAGAUCUUUAACCAGGGGACUCCCUGUAAAUUCUGUUAAUCUGAAGCCUCAAGCCUUCUCUCAGCUCGGGAAUAUUUUCUCCUAUUAUUUAUUUAAUUGCUGCUUCUCUCUUUUUUUUUUCUCUCUGCAUCACCUAAUAAUUGCGUAUAAAGUCUACUCUAUCCUUCAUGGUUUUAUUUUUUCCUUUCUGCUGGUCUUUUAAAAAAAAAAAAUCCUAGAACAGUUCCUGCUACUUAGUAGAUGCUCAGUGAAUACUUGUUUUGUUUCUGUACUAUUCUUCCAGAUUUUGCACCUGAUCUUUGAGGUCACUAGUUCAGGCCUGUGAUCAUCAGGAGAGACUUUAAUUAUUAUUUAAUUCUCCUUCCACUCUAAACCUUUGUUUUGUUUUUAAACACUUGAAGAAAUAGGGGAGGUCUAUAGAGGCUUCCACUUGGAACUUUUCUUUGUUUCAUUCAGUUAAUAUUUGUCAAAUCUUAUUGACAGUAUUAUGUAAAUGCACAUAUUACAGAGAUAAUGAUCACCUGUAACUUCUUUCCAUUGCCUUUUACAUUUUAGAGAUUUUCUUUCCACAGCGUCUUGCUAAAAGUAUAUGUCUUAUAGUCAUACACAGUACUUGUAUCCUGGCUUUACUUCAAAGGGCACAUAUGUCAGGUGUUUCUUGCACUUCAAAUAGAUUUCAGUUUUAAAGUCAUUUAUGGAACAUAUGUGAAAUGCCUAGUUUUAAAAAAUAUAUAGAAAACAAUAAAUGCAUAUGUUUUAUUUGCAUAGUGCUAAACCUAUGUUUAACAGGAAGUCUAAAAACAUCAUGGAUAAGCUUUUAUAUUUCCUACCAAGUCUUUUUUUUACAAUUAAUUAAGCAAAUACCUUAACAGAGAAAAAAAAGUUUUUCAACUGAAGCAUUCUUUCUGUUUAGUUUAUAUUAAAAAGCCCCAUUUGGAGUUCCUGUGGUGGUGCGGCAGGAACAAAUCUGACUAGGAACCAUAACGUUUCAGGUUCAAUCCCUGGCCUCGCUUAGUGGGUUAAGAAGCCAGUGCUGCUGUUAGCUGUGGUGUAGGUCGCAGAUGUGGCUUGGAUCCCGUAUUGCUGUGGCUCUGGUGUAGGCCGGCAGCUGUAGUUCCGAUUAGACCCCUAGCCUGGGAACCUCCAUAUGCCCAAAGUGCAGCCCUAAACACACACAUACACACACAAAGCUCCAUUUAAACCUGAUUUCAAAAACAAAACCUUUAAAGAAAGCUCUGAAGACAAACCCUUUAAUUGUACUGGUUGAAUUAACAGAAAAAUAUUUCAAAACUGGAGUUCCCAUUGUGGCUCAGCAGUAAUGAAACUGACUAGUAUCCAUCAGGACAUGGGUUCAAUCCCUGGCCCCACUUAAUGGGUUAAGGAUUUGACGUUGUGGUGAGCUGCAGUGUAGGUCGCAGAUGCAGUUCAGAUCCAGUGUUGCUGUGGCUGCAGCCCUAAGAAGACCAAAAAAACCAACCCUCAAAAUGAUUCUUCAGUAAAGGACAGGAAAGUAUAUAGCACCCCCUUUUUUUUUCUUUUUAGGGUUACCUGCAGCACACAGCAUUUCUCAGGCGGGGGUUGAAUUGGCACCGCAGCCACAGCAAUGCCCAGUUGGAGCCACAUCUUCGACCUAUGCUGCAGCUUUUGGCAAUGCUAGAUCCUUAACCCACCGAUUGAGGGCAGGAAUCGAACCUGCAUCCUCAGAUACUAGCAGGGUUCUUAACCCACUGAGCCACAACAGGAACUCCAAGCCUAUUCUUGAUGAGACACUGGAAACAAAAAACUUUAGCUCUGUUAUUUGAAAUCUGAAUGAAACAAUAAUAGAAAAAGUGGGAGUUCCCGUUGUGGCGCAGUGGUUAACGAAUCCGACUAGGAACCAUGAGGUUGCGGGUUCGGUCCCUGCCCUUGCUCAGUGGGUUAACGAUCCGGCGUUGCCGUGAGCUGUGGUGUAGGUUGCAGAUGCAGCUCGGAUCCAGCGUUGCUGUGGCUCUGGCGUAGGCCGGCGGCUACAGCUCCGACUCGACCCCUAGCCUGGGAAUCUCCAUAUGCCACGGGAGC
RNAcentral lists this long non-coding RNA (4994 nucleotides) under Sus scrofa (pig). RNAcentral's name for it is "lncRNA (ENSSSCG00000058458.1)". Lineage: Eukaryota; Metazoa; Chordata; Mammalia; Artiodactyla; Suidae. The record is from RNAcentral.